RNAcentral lists this ribosomal RNA (3747 nucleotides) under Triticum aestivum (bread wheat). RNAcentral's name for it is "partial small subunit ribosomal RNA". The record is from RNAcentral. Lineage: Eukaryota; Viridiplantae; Streptophyta; Magnoliopsida; Poales; Poaceae.
AUGACGGAGCUGGUGGCCACCAUAGUGGUUGGACCACUGCUCUCCAUCGUCAAGGACAAAGCGUCCAGCUACCACCUCGACAAGUACAAGGUGAUGAACGGCAUGGAGGAGCAGCACAAGAUCCUCAAGCGCAAACUGCCUGCCAUCCUGGACAUCAUCACCGACGCCGAGCAGACGGCAGCACACAGAGAAGGGGCGACGGCCUGGCUGGAAGAGGUAAAGACGGUGGCUUACCAGGCGAAUGAAGUCUUUGAUGAGUUCAAGUAUGAGGCGCUUCGUCGUGAGGCCAAAAAGGAGGGACACUACAACAAGCUUGGCUUCGAUGUGGUAAAACUAUUUCCCACCCACAACCGUUUUAUAUUCCGUAACAGGACGGGGAGAAAGCUCCGCAAGAUUGUGCAGGACAUUGAGGUCCUUGUGGCUGAAAUGAAUGCAUUUGGCUUUAAAUACCAGCAACGGUCACCGUUAUCCACCAAGUUGCGGCAGACAGAUCAUGUUAUCUUUGAUCCAGAGAAAAUAACCAUCAGAUCCAGAGAGAAGGAUUACAAGAAUAUUAUCAAUAUACUUGUUGGGCAAGCUAACAAUGCAGAUCUCACAGUUGUUCCCAUCGUUGGAAUGGGGGGUCUGGGCAAGACUACGUUAGCACAACUUGUUUAUAAUGAACCUGAAAUUGAGAAGCAUUUUGAUGUGCUACUAUGGGUGUGUGUCUCUGAAUGCUUUGAUGCGGACUCUCUGGCUAGAAGUAUAGUUGAAGCAGCUCUUGAGAAGAAGGAUAAUGGUACAGAAGCAGCUCCCAGGAAGAAGAGGGAUGAUACAGAAGCAUCAACUGAUUCCAAGAAGAAGACACUGCUCGAUAGCCUUCAGCAUGUGGUAAGCGGUCAAAGGUACCUCCUUGUAUGGGAUGAUAUCUGGGCACGACAGGUUCACAUCUGGGAACAACUCAAGGCAUGUCUUCAACAUGGUGGCAUGGGUAGCGUGAUCUUGACAACAUCUCGUGAUGGAGGAGUGGCUGAAACAAUGGGUACGGUUGAAGCUUAUAAUCUCACAGCUUUGGAAAAUAAGUUCAUAAAGGAAAUCAUCGAGACAAGUGCCUUCAGUUGUUUGCAUAAGGAAGAGGAAAGGCCCAUCGUGUUGGUGGACAUGGUUGAUGAGAUUGUGAAGAGAUGCCGUGGCUCUCCUUUAGCCGCAACAGCAUUGGGCACUGUACUGCGUACCAAGACCAAUGAGGAAGAAUGGAAGGCUGUCUUAAGUAGAAGCAACGUUUGCACCGAGGAGUCUGGAAUCUUACCAAUACUCAAGCUCAGUUACAACGACUUGCCAUCAUAUAUGAAGCAAUGCUUUGCCUUUUGUGCUAUAUUUCCCAAAGAUUAUGAGAUUGAUGUGGACAAGCUAAUCCAACUAUGGAUUGCUAAUGGCUUUAUUAUCCAGGAAAAGCAUGUUCGUCUUGAAACCAUUGCCAAACAGAUUUUCAAUCAGUUAGCCUCAAGGACUACAUGUAGAAUCCACGAUCUUAUGCAUGAUGUCGCAUUGUCUGUAAUGGAGAAGGAGUGUGCCCUCGCAACUGAGGAAACCAGCAAGAUUGAAUGUGUUGUUGCAACUGAGGAACCAAGCCAGACGAAAAGCAGCUCUUUGCAACAUCUAGCAAAAUGCAGCUCUUUGCAAGCAUUUCAGCUCUGUUCAUACAAAUCAUCAUUUCCGCUGAAGUCAAAGUAUCUACAUCACCUAAGGUACCUAGAUCUCUCAAGAAGUUAUAUCAAAGCACUUCCUGAAGAUAUGAGCAUUCUAUACAACCUGCAAACUUUGAACCUCUCUGGCUGCAAAUACCUUUGUGGGCUUCCAAGCCAAAUGAAGUAUAUGACUGCCCUCCGUCACCUUUUUACUCAUGGUUGCCCACAACUGAAGAGCAUGCCUAGAGACCUCAGAAAGCUCACAGCCCUACAAACACUAACAUGUUUUGUAGUAGUUAGUGGCUCUAAUUGCAGUAAUGUUGGAGAGCUCAGGAAUUUAAACCUUGGUGGUCAACUAGAGCUACAUCAUCUAGCGAACGUGACAGAAAAAGAUGCAAAAGCGGCAAAUCUCAUUAGGAAGAAUGAACUAAGGGAACUGACAUUAAGAUGGACAGUUGGACAGGAUCAUUUUUCUAGGGAAACUAGUCAUGAGGAUGAUGCAAGAGUGCUCGAGAAACUCAAACCUCAUAAUGGGCUGCGUGCUAUAAGGAUAUACUCCUAUCGAGCCACCACCUUUCCAACAGGGAUGGCUAUGUUGCAAAACAUUGUUGAGAUCCACGUCUGCCAUUGUAAAAAACUGCAAUGGUUGUUCAGCCGCAACAGUGAUACAUCCUUUGCAUUUCCAAAUCUGAAGGAGCUUACACUAGACAGCCUUGUCUCUUUGGAGAGAUGGUGGGAAAUAAAUAAUGAUGUGAUACAAAGAGAAGAAAUAAUGUUUCCUCGGCUCGAGAAGUUGUGUAUUAGUCAGUGUGAAAAGCUCACAGCAUUGCCAGGACAACCGACCUUCCCUAACCUCCAGAAUGCUUGCAUUGAAAGAUGUCCAGAGUACUUGACAACGAGAGUUAAAUCACCAAACCUCAGUGUAUUAACGAUGCAAGGACGUGAGAUACACGUGUUCCAGUGGGUAGCCAGGCAUAUGACUUCAUUGAUCAAUCUAGAACUGCAUAGCCUUGAAGACAGUACAGAAACAACCUCGGGGGCAGCUGAGCAUGGUUUGAGAGAAGUGUUAACGUUCGACGGGAAGAAAAACUGGAGGGGUCAAGAUUUUCCUCUGGCAGUUCUGGUGUUAGUAAAUUUUAGGUCAGGUGUAACAGAGCUGUGUGCAUGUUUUGUACACCUUCAAGGUCUGAGAAUUUGGGGUUGUGCGCUCGUCCACUGGCCAGCAAAAGAGUUCCAAGGAUUGGUAUUUUUGAGGAGGCUUCAGAUUGAAUGCUGCGAUGAUUUGACUGGAUAUGCACAAGCUUCUGCUGAGCUGUCAACAUCACCAGAAACGACUCUGCAGCUCCUGCCACGUCUAGAGUCUCUGGAGAUACGGAAGUGUGACAACUUGGUUGAGGUCUUCAACGUUCCUGCAUCUCAAAGGAGAAUGAUAAUUUGUGAUUGCAGUAAGCUUGAGUCCCCAUUUGGCAGGAGGCUACAGCAGGGCCAGUCAGCACCGUCCAUUCAUCAAGGAUCAUCUAGUGUACUGGAGGUGCAAUCAUCAUCAUCACCCGGAGCUGGGGCGGAGCAUUUACAGAAAUUAAGAAUAGAGAGUUGCCAUGGCUUAACAGGAGUUCUCCAUCUUCCCCAGUCCCUCAAGGAUCUAGAAAUUAGCUACUGUGUUGGGUUGACAUCUUUGGGAUCUUGCUCGGGAGAGCUCCCAUCGUUGGAGCGCCUCUAUCUUGCGAGUUGCAAUAUUGUGUCAUCCCUACCGGAUGGGCCGCAAGCAUACUCAUCUCUCCAAGAGCUUGUCAUUGUCCACUGCCCUGCUAUGAAGACGCUCCCUGCAAGCCUGCAGCAACAGCUGUGCAGCCUCCAGAGGGAACAUGUAGAUGCCCAUUAUUAUGGAAACGUGUACGCCGUUGUUGAGACACAGCCGGAUCAGCCACAAAGGAUCUACCAGACUGCUCCUGUGUGGCAUCUAAUCCCGAGGGUGAUUCUGAAGGAUUUUCUGCGGCUGUUUGCUGAAGUGGAGCGCCUGGAAUGCGCACAGAGGAUCUCGGUGCGGCAUCUGCAUGUGCAUGCAGCCCAUUAUGCGUGA